RNAcentral lists this transfer RNA (34 nucleotides) under Momordica charantia (bitter melon). RNAcentral describes it as "partial tRNA-His". Lineage: Eukaryota; Viridiplantae; Streptophyta; Magnoliopsida; Cucurbitales; Cucurbitaceae. RNAcentral also lists the same sequence under 19 other names. The record is from RNAcentral.
GCGGAUGUAGCCAAGUGGAUCAAGGCAGUGGAUU